Molecule: unclassified non-coding RNA, 377 nt
Filed under: uncultured Geodermatophilaceae bacterium
Lineage: Bacteria; Bacillati; Actinomycetota; Actinomycetes; Geodermatophilales; Geodermatophilaceae
Description: contains 16S-23S intergenic spacer region
Source: RNAcentral
UCCGAGUUGACCCCGGCAGUCUCCUAUGAGUCCCCACCAUGACGUGCUGGCAACAUAGAACGAGGGUUGCGCUCGUUGCGGGACUUAACCCAACAUCUCACGACACGAGCUGACGACAACCAUGCACCACCUGUGCACGGCCCUUACGGACCCACCAUCUCUGGAGGAUUUCCGUGCAUGUCAAGCCUAGGUAAGGUUCUUCGCGUUGCAUCGAAUUAAGCAACAUGCUCCGCCGCUUGUGCGGGCCCCCGUCAAUUCCUUUGAGUUUUAGCCUUGCGGCCGUACUCCCCAGGCGGGGCGCUUAAUGCGUUAGCUGCGGCACGGAACUCGUGGAAUGAGCCCCACACCUAGCGCCCAACGUUUACGGCGUGGACUAC